GCCGGGAUGGCGGAAGUGGUAGACGCACAGGACUUAAAAUCCUGUGGGAAUUAAUUCCCGUGCCGGUUCGAGUCCGGCUCUCGGUACUA
Molecule: transfer RNA, 89 nt
Filed under: Ignavibacteria bacterium CG2_30_36_16
Lineage: Bacteria; Pseudomonadati; Ignavibacteriota; Ignavibacteria
Also listed under: 1 other name
Description: tRNA-Leu
Rfam family: tRNA
About the family: Transfer RNA (tRNA) molecules are approximately 80 nucleotides in length. Their secondary structure includes four short double-helical elements and three loops (D, anti-codon, and T loops).
Source: RNAcentral